GGAAUACGAAGGGAGAAUGAAACAAAACUGCUCCGCUUAGGGAACUUGGAAAGGAAAUUGAAAAGUUGACAUGCAGGCUGGACAUACAGUGGGCCUCGAUUGCUUAGAAGCCAAACUGAACUCACCAAGAAAAGAAGACAGGAGAAACUUCUCAAGAGGAAUAUCUCCAAAUUGCAGGAUCGAAUACCAUAAGAGGAAUUCUGGACUGAAGAGUUAUGAAGUCAUUUCAGACACUUCCAGACAAUUUGUGUUAAUUAAAUUCUCACUGGUUGAGUUCCAUUCUACACUGGAAGAGCAUUUUUCCUGGAAAGGCUCCUCAAAAUGUACCUUUGGCAAACACAGAGAGGUAUGCUCAUAGAAGAGGUGAGUUUGGAACUGCAAAUCCUCCCAGCCUCAGGACCUCUCUUUUGGUUGCCUGCUCUGCUACAAAGCUGGAGAUCUAAAGUGGAGGCGUGUAGAAGACACCGUCUGGCUGGACACCAUCAAGAGUCACCUCCUCAGUGAAGCCUUCCAUGGUUUCAUACCACCCAUCCCUAUCGGAAUGAAUGUAUCCUUGUUCUCCGUUAUCCCAGUAUUUUGCCUGGGCUUCUGUCACACUACUUUCAAUGUCUAUACCUCAGUUAUCGAAUCGAAAAACAAGAGUCAUCAGUCUCUAAGGUCCUUGCAAGCUUCAAAACUUUAUAUUUUUGUCAAUUACAACUGAAUAAAGCUGAACAACUUAUUAUUUAUGGAUACUUGCUCAAGCACCAUAUAACUCUUUCAGAUAUUUUAAAA
This is a long non-coding RNA of Homo sapiens (human), 774 nucleotides long. Ensembl annotates it as DAB1 antisense RNA 1. Its record names the gene DAB1-AS1. The record is from Ensembl. NCBI's taxonomy places the organism in Eukaryota, Metazoa, Chordata, Mammalia, Primates, Hominidae.